AAGACUAUACUUUCAGGGAUCAUUUCUAUAGUUUGUGAUAAAGUUUGUGAAGGUGCAAACGUUAGUUUGCAGUCCCGUUGUCGGUGAC
This 88-nucleotide small nucleolar RNA is filed under the name Zalophus californianus (California sea lion). RNAcentral's name for it is "Small nucleolar RNA U3 (ENSZCAG00015003263.1)". It matches the Rfam family "Small nucleolar RNA U3", at positions 1 to 92 of the family's 219-position model. Rfam says of the family: Small nucleolar RNAs (snoRNAs) are involved in the processing and modification of rRNA in the nucleolus. There are two main classes of snoRNAs: the box C/D class, and the box H/ACA class. U3 snoRNA is a member of the box C/D class. The record is from RNAcentral. Lineage: Eukaryota; Metazoa; Chordata; Mammalia; Carnivora; Otariidae.